GAUGAACGCUGGCGGCGUGCCUAAUACAUGCAAGUCGAGCGAACAGACGAGGAGCUUGCUCCUCUGACGUUAGCGGCGGACGGGUGAGUAACACGUGGAUAACCUACCUAUAAGACUGGGAUAACUUCGGGAAACCGGAGCUAAUACCGGAUAAUAUAUUGAACCGCAUGGUUCAAUAGUGAAAGACGGUUUUGCUGUCACUUAUAGAUGGAUCCGCGCCGCAUUAGCUAGUUGGUAAGGUAACGGCUUACCAAGGCAACGAUGCGUAGCCGACCUGAGAGGGUGAUCGGCCACACGGGAACUGAGACACGGUCCAGACUCCUACGGGAGGCAGCAGUAGGGAAUCGUCCGCAAUGGGCGAAAGCCUGACGGAGCAACGCCGCGUGAAUGAUGAAGGUCUUCGGAUCGUAAAACUCUGUUAUUAGGGAAGAACAAAUGUGUAAGUAACUAUGCACGUCUUGACGGUACCUAAUCAGAAAGCCACGGCUAACUACGUG
RNAcentral lists this ribosomal RNA (497 nucleotides) under uncultured bacterium. RNAcentral describes it as "partial 16S ribosomal RNA". It matches the Rfam family "Bacterial small subunit ribosomal RNA", at positions 28 to 507 of the family's 1533-position model. The record is from RNAcentral.